Molecule: small RNA, 317 nt
Filed under: Arabidopsis thaliana (thale cress)
Lineage: Eukaryota; Viridiplantae; Streptophyta; Magnoliopsida; Brassicales; Brassicaceae
Description: ATSL046120
Source: RNAcentral
AAGAAUAACGCUGUCAUACCAUCAGGCCCUGGUGCUUUUUCCGGGUGCAUCAAAAACAAAGCCGCUCUUACCUCAUCUUCUGUAGCAGGUGUCGUUAAGAAGUCAUUUAUUUGAUCCGUUAUUAAAGUUUUAACCUCUGAUAAAGAUUCCGCAAUAUUCUGGGGAUUCGACUUAUUAAACAAAGUCUCAAAAUAAGACACCGCUAUAUGUUGGACAUCUUUAUCCUCUGCAAACCAUUUUCCAUUUUCAUCAUGAAGUCCUAUGAUCCGAUUCCUAGCCCGUCUCUGUUUUGUUAGAGCAUGGAAAUAUUUUGAGUU